RNAcentral lists this long non-coding RNA (1161 nucleotides) under Linum usitatissimum (flax). Its description in RNAcentral is "long non-coding RNA (LUSI_LNC003189)". The record is from RNAcentral. Lineage: Eukaryota; Viridiplantae; Streptophyta; Magnoliopsida; Malpighiales; Linaceae.
CCAAAUCCAUUUCCACUCCACCCAACAAAAACCAGAGCAAGCUGAAUCGAAAGAAUUCCACUUCCGAUGCAGAACAACAAUUCUCCCAAUCUCCGAUCGACGCCGAAUCACAUCCGCUUCGAUUCUCCGUCGAUGUCUUCCUCUCGUCUCUCGCAGCAGGAGGAGCUCGACAUCAUGGUGGCUGGGCUGCGCCACAUAGAGUCCCGCACCAGCACUCCGCCACGUAGUCUCCGGCACCACCACAACAACCGCGGUCUCUCCCAAUACAACACCGUUUCACUUUCAGAUUCCUCAGCCUGCAAUUCUGGACACGUGUACGGUGUGCGGGAACCAGGGGUGUUUGGGGUGCGACAUUUUCCCGCCAAAUCAAGAGGAUCAAAAUUCGAACAAGAAGAACACCACCAAGUCCAAAUCGACGACGACGGCGGUGAGGAAGAGAGGGAAGAAGAACUAUAGAGGAGUGAGGCAGAGGCCAUGGGGGAAAUGGGCGUCGGAGAUUCGAGAUCCACGCCGGGCGACCAGGGUUUGGCUAGGAACUUUCGAGACGGCUGAGGAGGCGGCGAGGGCUUACGAUAAGGCGGCGAUCGAGUUCCGAGGGCCGAGAGCCAAGCUCAAUUUCCCUUUCCCGGAUCAAGCUCAGCUCCAGCAGUCGGAAUCGGAGAAGAAGGAGAAGGUGAAGAUUGAGGAGGAACAGAGGAAUGGAAAAACUGGGGGGAGCAAUGAAUUGGGGGAUCAGGAGGAUUUUGAAGAGUGGAUGAUGAUGCUGAUGGACUUCUCCGGUGGCGACUCGUCGGAUUCUGCUGGUACGACGGGAACCGUUUGUACUUCCUCCGGGAAUUUGUGCUUCUAGACAAAAAAAAAAAUACCUGGCCAGAAACAGGGGAGCAAAAAAAAAAAAGAAGCUUCUGAUUCUUUUUUUCGUAGGUUUUUAUUUUUUAUCAGGAGAAAAGAAUCGGAAUUGUAAAAUAUUUGUAUCUUAUUUUCUGUGACAUCGGUUUAAUCGUAUGCGAAAAUUAUAACAGUAUAGUAGCUUGGUUAUGAUUAAAUGAAUUUCGCAUCGUAAACUCUAUAAUCACGAAUUUCAUGCUCGCUAUAUCGAGUUAAACUUCAACGUUACAACCUUUACGGAUGAACGAAAACGAAUCGGAAUGAAAAUUGAAC